UGAUGCAGCCAUGCCGUGUGUAUGAAGAAGGUCCUUGGGUUNUAAAGUACUUUCAGCAGUGAGGAAGGUGGGUAUGUUAAUAGCAUAUUCAUUUGACGUUAGCUGCAGAAGAAGCACCGGCUAACUCCGUGCCAGCAGCCGCGGUAAUACGGAGGGUGCGAGCGUUAAUCGGAAUUACUGGGCGUAAAGCGCAUGCAGGUGGUUUGUUAAGUCAGAUGUGAAAGCCCGGGGCUCAACCUCGGAAUUGCAUUUGAAACUGGCAAACUAGAGUACUGUAGAGGGGGUAGAAUUUCAGGUGUAGCGGUGAAAUGCGUAGAGAUCUGAAGGAAUACCGGUGGCGAAGGCGGCCCCCUGGACAGAUACUGACACUCAGAUGCGAAAGCGUGGGGAGCAAACAGGAUUAGAUACCCUGGUAG
This 416-nucleotide ribosomal RNA is filed under the name uncultured bacterium. Its description in RNAcentral is "bacterial SSU rRNA". It matches the Rfam family "Bacterial small subunit ribosomal RNA", at positions 384 to 793 of the family's 1533-position model. The record is from RNAcentral.